GCUGGUAUAGCUCAGGCGGCAGAGCGCAUCCUUGGUAAGGAUGAGGUCAGCAGUUCGAAUCUGCUUAUCAGCUCCA
RNAcentral lists this transfer RNA (76 nucleotides) under Clostridiales bacterium. RNAcentral describes it as "tRNA-Thr". It matches the Rfam family "tRNA". From Rfam's summary of the family: Transfer RNA (tRNA) molecules are approximately 80 nucleotides in length. The record is from RNAcentral. Lineage: Bacteria; Bacillati; Bacillota; Clostridia; Eubacteriales.